AACCAGUUUGGUCACACACGGGCAAACCCAUGUGGGCAACAUAGGUCCCAAAAUGGUCCUUUAACAUUUGUAAAUGGGUUAUAAGUGGGCUAUCUGGCGUGGAUAUGGUCAGAGGUUGUCUCUGGAACCCAGUUGCGUAUACCACCUGGGGCGCAUACGCAUUCAAUAUUGGGCACAAUACAGAAUGUAUCAUUCAGGCGCUAAACGUUGGAGAUGUCCAGGCAAGACAACGGGAGCUGGAAAUCUUGCGUUAUUCGACCGCUACCUAUGAACAGGCCUGGAUAAAACUUAAAAGGGCAGAGGAGAAUUCUGAUCUGCAGACACUCAGACAUAAAUGAAGAAGAGUCAGGACCUAACUGUGGUAAAACAGCAACAGCAGCACUGCUCGAGGGGCUGAUUUCCCUAUGAAUACUAUCAUAAAUGUGGAGGCGAUGGAGCAAAAGUUACUUGACAGCUUUCCUGAAUGGAGUGUAAGCUGUGGAGGAGGAGGUGGACUGUUACGCAAAGGCCACUUCAUCAUCUGUCUGUUAAAUCAUCUGCAUGAUAGUGGAGAGAGAGUGAUGCAGACUUCAGUAUGUGUCAUCAACUUCCUGACAUAACUGCCUGACCUUCUAGGAAGCCAUUAAUUUCAUCAAAACAACCUGUAGAAACUACCCUGAAAUUCAUCCACUGAUGUCUUUAUAAAGUCUAGAUGGUAUAAACAAAAACAUAAAGGUACAAUACAUAACAUUUACAGAUAUCAAGAGUUCGUGUUGCAGUGUGUGGUUUAAAUGCAUUUUACCUUUCACCAUUGUAAUCUUCUAUAGCUUCAUUGUUAUCAAGAAAUGUCAUGGCAUAAAUAUACUUCAAGGCAAUGUAGAUCAUAGGCUACCUUCUAUACAUGAUUUCUCAAUGCCAAACCUCUUAUUGCUAACGCUUGUCAGAAGCUAAGCUACACUGUAUAUACAAAAGUAUGUGGACACCCCUUCAAAUUAGUGGCUUUGGCUAUUGCAGGCACACCCGAGCACACAGCCAUGCAAUCUAUAUAGACUAACAUUGGCAGUAGAAUGGCCUUACUGAAGCGCUCAGUGACUUUCAAUGUGGCAUUGUCAUAGGAUGCCACCUUUCCAAAAAGUCUGCUCAUCAAAUUUCUGCACUGCUAGAUCUGCCCCGGUCAACUGUAAGUGCUGUUAUG
This is a long non-coding RNA of Salmo salar (Atlantic salmon), 1174 nucleotides long. RefSeq lists it as uncharacterized. The record is from RefSeq and is a predicted model, not a curated record. NCBI's taxonomy places the organism in Eukaryota, Metazoa, Chordata, Actinopteri, Salmoniformes, Salmonidae.